AUUGAACGCUGGCGGCAUGCUUUACACAUGCAAGUCGAACGGUAACAGGCCGCAAGGUGCUGACGAGUGGCGAACGGGUGAGUAAUGCAUCGGAACGUGCCCAGUCGUGGGGGAUAACGCAGCGAAAGCUGUGCUAAUACCGCAUACGAUCUAUGGAUGAAAGCGGGGGACCGUAAGGCAUCGCGCGAUUGGAGCGGACGAUGUACGAUUAGGUAGUUGGUGUGGUAAAGGCGCACCAAGCCAACGAUCUGUAGCUGGUCUGAGAGGACGACCAGCCACACUGGGACUGAGACACGGCCCAGACUCCUACGGGAGGCAGCAGUGGGGAAUUUUGGACAAUGGGCGCAAGCCUGAUCCAGCAAUGCCGCGUGCAGGAAGAAGGCCUUCGGGUUGUAAACUGCUUUUGUACGGAACGAAAAGGUUUGGGUUAAUACCCUGGGCCGAUGACGGUACCGUAAGAAUAAGCACCGGCUAACUACGUGCCAGCCGCCGCGGUAA
This 498-nucleotide ribosomal RNA is filed under the name uncultured bacterium. RNAcentral describes it as "partial 16S ribosomal RNA". It matches the Rfam family "Bacterial small subunit ribosomal RNA", at positions 30 to 523 of the family's 1533-position model. The record is from RNAcentral.